GAUUGCUCGAUGUAUUUGACAAUUUUGAUCUACUGAAUCCAAUAACUAUUUUGUCCUCAACUUGGAACUUGAAUGAUUCAUUUCAGGUGUUCCUGGAGCAUUUGCUGGAGUCAAGUGGCUUGCUACGAUUCUAGGAACCAUGCGAACCCCACCAUCAUUUCGAGCCACUUCCCACCAUAACAUGUACUUCCUAUCUUAUAAUUGCAAGACCAUAAUGAGUCCUUGACAUGCAUGGUGGACUUGGUUAUCAACCUGACCCAACUCACACUCUCUCUCCUGAACUGGUGAUUCUGUUCUCUCCAUCUUUGUUCAACUUGGUACAGUUCUCAUAUGCAUUGAGGUGGUCAUUAACUCCGGAUCUAGAAUCGACCCAAAGCGAUAUAUCAGAAUCAUUCAAAACUGUCUAUGGCAAAACAGCGAUGAUAAUGUGUUUGCUGCUUGACGACCACAGCAGUCAAUGUCGUCAAAAGCUUCAAAAGAGAUGCCAAUUUAUUGCCACUGUCUAUUAAUAAAAGAUUAGAUUGCUUCACGCCAGUAAUCACGUUGAAUGUGGUCGAAAAAAUGAUGUGUUAUCCUUUGUUCAUUUGCCGCCACCUAAAGAUCAUCAGCAGAGAAGUCAGUUCGUCUCAGCACAAACUCAAUCUUUGAU
Molecule: long non-coding RNA, 649 nt
Organism: Musa acuminata AAA Group (dessert banana)
Lineage: Eukaryota; Viridiplantae; Streptophyta; Magnoliopsida; Zingiberales; Musaceae
Exons: 3
Source: RefSeq, a predicted model, not a curated record